AUCCUUCAUCUGGUUAGGGAGACACUGUAAUCACGAAGGUGGUUUUCCUAGGGCAAGGCUUAGCCAUUGCACUCCGGAUGUGUUGACCCCUGUGAUUUCCCCAAAUGUGGGAAACUCGACCACAUAAUUUGUGGUCGUGAGGGACUGCAUUCGCGCUUUACCUAC
Small nuclear RNA from Manis javanica (Malayan pangolin), 165 nucleotides. RefSeq annotates it as U1 spliceosomal RNA. The record is from RefSeq and is a predicted model, not a curated record. NCBI's taxonomy places the organism in Eukaryota, Metazoa, Chordata, Mammalia, Pholidota, Manidae.